Wasmannia auropunctata (little fire ant) is the source of this 411-nucleotide long non-coding RNA. RefSeq lists it as uncharacterized. The transcript is spliced from 3 exons. The record is from RefSeq and is a predicted model, not a curated record. Lineage: Eukaryota; Metazoa; Arthropoda; Insecta; Hymenoptera; Formicidae.
AUGAGACUGUCAUGUACAUACAUCUUGCUACAAUCUUUAUUAUGAUGAUCGUGCUUUCAACCGAAAUUUAGGCUAAGGCUCAAAUGGAUGAAAUAGAUGACUGUUGGUGCUGUCCUCAUAGUGGCUCACGGUCGCCUACUUCCUAAAUUAUAGAAAGUUGGCAUUUCUCAUCACUGGAAAAAGAGUAGCUGCGUCUUCCACGUGAUGAACCUGAAAUUAAAUUUUUAGCAAAGACCUGGCAAAAAAUUGGAAUUAUGAUGUAAUAUGUGUAAAAAAUGAAGCAUAUAAACAAUACAAUAUGUCAUAUUGUAUAUUUAAAAAACAAGUUAAUUAUAUUUGUAUGUAUCUAUUAUAUUUGUUUGUUUUUAAAUAACAUAACAGAAAAUAAACAACAAGAAUGCAUAAUCAGUA